UUAUUGGAAGAUUAGAAAGCUGA
This 23-nucleotide small nuclear RNA is filed under the name Arabidopsis thaliana (thale cress). RNAcentral describes it as "snRNA_03314". The record is from RNAcentral. Lineage: Eukaryota; Viridiplantae; Streptophyta; Magnoliopsida; Brassicales; Brassicaceae.